Molecule: microRNA precursor, 69 nt
Filed under: Tetraodon nigroviridis (spotted green pufferfish)
Lineage: Eukaryota; Metazoa; Chordata; Actinopteri; Tetraodontiformes; Tetraodontidae
Description: Tni-Mir-132-P2a_pre stem-loop
Rfam family: mir-132 microRNA precursor family
Source: RNAcentral
ACCUUGGCUCUAGACUGCUUACUGCUAACACCGCUCUGAAGUACAGUAACAGUCUACAGUCAUGGCUAC